Molecule: ribosomal RNA, 253 nt
Filed under: uncultured bacterium
Lineage: Bacteria
Description: partial 16S ribosomal RNA
Rfam family: Bacterial small subunit ribosomal RNA
Source: RNAcentral
UACGGAGGAUCCAAGCGUUAUCCGGAUUUAUUGGGUUUAAGGGGUGCGUAGGCGGAUUGAUAAGUUAGAGGUGAAAUGUCCGAGCUCAACUCGGGAACUGCCUCUAAUACUGUUGAUCUAGAGAGUAGAUGCGGCAGGCGGAAUGUAUGGUGUAGCGGUGAAAUGCUUAGAGAUCAUACAGAACACCGAUUGCGAAGGCAGCUUACCAAUCUAUAUCUGACGUUGAGGCACGAAAGCGUGGGGAGCAAACAGG